RNAcentral lists this ribosomal RNA (397 nucleotides) under uncultured bacterium. RNAcentral describes it as "bacterial SSU rRNA". It matches the Rfam family "Bacterial small subunit ribosomal RNA", at positions 505 to 898 of the family's 1533-position model. The record is from RNAcentral.
GUGUCAGCAGCCGCGGUAAUACGUAGGGGGCAAGCGUUGUCCGGAUUUAUUGGGCGUAAAGAGCUCGUAGGCGGUUCGGUAAGUCGGCUGUGAAAUCUCCACGCUCAACGUGGAGGGGUCAGUCGAAACUGCCGUGACUCGAGUCCGGUAGAGGAGUGUGGAAUUCCCGGUGUAGCGGUGAAAUGCGCAGAGAUCGGGAGGAACACCCGUAGCGAAGGCGGCACUCUGGGCCGGUACUGACGCUGAGGAGCGAAAGCGUGGGGAGCAAACAGGAUUAGAUACCCUGGUAGUCCACGCCGUAAACGUUGGGCACUAGGUGUGGGGCUCUAUCGACGGGUUCCGUGCCGUAGCUAACGCAUUAAGUGCCCCGCCUGGGGAGUACGGCCGCAAGGCUAAA